UACGUAGGGGGCAAGCGUUAUCCGGAUUUAUUGGGCGUAAAGGGUGUGCAGGCGGUUUGCCAAGUUCGUGGCGACAGCCAUCGGCUUAACCGAUGGAGGACUGCGAAAACUGACAGGCUUGAGAGCGAGAGAGGGACAUGGAACUCCGGGUGGGAGCGGUGACAUGUGUAGAGAUCCGGAAGAACAUCAAAGGCGAAGGCUGUGUCCCGGCUCGUUCUGACGCUCAAGCACGAAAGCUAGGGAGCAAACAGG
RNAcentral lists this ribosomal RNA (252 nucleotides) under uncultured bacterium. RNAcentral's name for it is "partial 16S ribosomal RNA". It matches the Rfam family "Bacterial small subunit ribosomal RNA", at positions 524 to 776 of the family's 1533-position model. The record is from RNAcentral.